CAAAAUAGAGCUGGAAAAGAGAAAUCUGGGGCGCAAAAUGGGCUCGAAUCGGGGGAUUUAGGGUUAAUCCCGCGCCCCCGGCGCACGACGAGGUCAGAAAUGGGAAUUUGGGAUCAGACACGCGAUCCAGGCGCAAAACGGGUCAGAAACGGGGAUUUGGGGCCGAUCGCGCGCCCCUGGCGCUAAACGAGCUCCAAAAGGGCCACUUUGGGUUAAACGCGCGCCCCCGGCGCAGAAUUAGCUCAGAAUUGGGCGGUUGGGGUUAAUCACGCGCCCCCCUCGCAGUUUGGGCCGAGAACGGGGGAUUUUGGGGUCGGCGCGUCCCGGGGCCCCGCCGGUACUUACUCCGCUCGCUCACCUUUUCCUGCCUCUUAUUUUGGGGGGAAUUUCUAGUUUUUAUGCCUUUUUUUUUUUGGAGCAAAUUGUCCAUUUUGGGGCGAAUCGAGGCGGUUUUGGCACUGUCACUGUGGGGAGGGGAGAGAGACAACACCCAACCCCCCAUCCCCCGAACCUGCUCCUCCAUCCCUUUGCAUUGGGGGAAAAUCCGGGGAAAAUGGUUCAAAAGCUCCUCCCCCUCCCCAGGCACCACGGGAAGGUGCUGACUAAGCGCUUUUUUGGGUGGAAAAACCCCUGCUUUUUGUUUAAAUUCCCAGCUUGGGGUCGGGCCCUGCCAGCAGCGCAUUCUGAGGCAAUUUUAGCAAUUUUGGGGUCUUUUCUUGGGGGCAAAACUACAUUUUUUAAAGCUUUAGGAGCUUUUGUUUAAAAAAUAAAUUUAGGAGCUUUUUUAGCA
This 790-nucleotide long non-coding RNA is filed under the name Cyanistes caeruleus (blue tit). RNAcentral's name for it is "lncRNA (ENSCCEG00000012920.1)". Lineage: Eukaryota; Metazoa; Chordata; Aves; Passeriformes; Paridae. The record is from RNAcentral.